AUCCAUUGUUCAGUUGGUAAAGCACAAAGCUCUUAACCUUGUGGACGUGGGUUCAAGCCCUAUGAUGGAUG
Triticum aestivum (bread wheat) is the source of this 71-nucleotide non-coding RNA. NCBI's taxonomy places the organism in Eukaryota, Viridiplantae, Streptophyta, Magnoliopsida, Poales, Poaceae. The record is from Rfam.